RNAcentral lists this small RNA (416 nucleotides) under Pan troglodytes (chimpanzee). RNAcentral's name for it is "processed transcript". The record is from RNAcentral. Lineage: Eukaryota; Metazoa; Chordata; Mammalia; Primates; Hominidae.
GGCUGGGGAUGCCCAGUGUAGACUGUAGCGCUAGAGAAGCAAUUUCUGACCCCUCUUUCUUUCUCUGGUCACUCAAUUGCAGGACAGGAGUUGCUCCUUCCCAAAGAGUUUUGGGGUGACUCCUGCACCUGCGCCGGCUCCUGCAAAUGCAAAGAGUGCAAAUGCACCUCCUGCAAGAAAAGCUGCUGCUCCUGCUGCCCUGUGGGCUGUGCCAAGUGUGCCCAGGGCUGCAUCUGCAAAGGGGCGUCGGACAAGUGCAGCUGCUGCGCCUGAUGCUGGGACAGCCCUGCUCCCAGAUGUAAAUAACGCGACUUCUACAAACCUGGAUUUUUUAUGUACAACCCUGACCCUGACCGUUUGCUAUAUUCCUUUUUCUAUGAAAUAAUGUGAAUGAUAAUAAAACAGCUUUGACUUGA